Molecule: small RNA, 558 nt
Filed under: Histoplasma ohiense
Lineage: Eukaryota; Fungi; Ascomycota; Eurotiomycetes; Onygenales; Ajellomycetaceae
Description: hypothetical lncRNA
Source: RNAcentral
UACCUGGCCUGGCAAAAGGCUGAUCCUUCUCGUCGGGUCUCGAGUGGGCCCUUUUCAAUAUACAGGGAUGCAACGACGCGUGAUGAUUGGCACGGUUCAGUACCGGAACAGAUCCGCAUACGCUGCAAUCAAAUGGAAUGAUUCUUGGAUGAAUACUCCGUAUGCUUAACGGGAAAUGCUUAAAUGGAAAUGUUCAAAAUUUUGGGCCAUGUACCGAUCUGUACACAUACUUACUCUGUUUACUCCGUAUGGCUUUUCGCACUUCACGACUUUGGGAACUUUGGGAAGGUCGUUGAUUUCCCCCAAGCGGUGUUUUGCCUGCGCCCACCUGUUCACGCGCUGAUAGGCGGAUAGGCAGCGGCCCUUCCAGCCCGUUGUUGGCCGUUGUGGGGCCUAGGCCAACUCCAGGAUAGCCAGCCGUCUCCAACACACGGCCGGAGUGAUUCCGGAACCCUCUGCUGGUGGGGAGUCCAGAGAGCCCUGGAUUCCUCCAGCCUUCCAGUAUGAGGACGGUUCCUUGUUUGGCCUCAAGAGAGUGCAAGAGUGAUGUCGAAAAAA